AUGGCUGAAUCAAGGCCAGCAGUUUGCUGAAGCUGUUGGUUUCAAACAGGAGCCUAAAGAAUUAUCUUUCUGUGGUCUGUUGGCCAUUUCAGAACUUUGGAAAUGUAAUGGUCAAUUCAUUAGAAAAAAACAUCU
RNAcentral lists this small nucleolar RNA (135 nucleotides) under Propithecus coquereli (Coquerel's sifaka). Lineage: Eukaryota; Metazoa; Chordata; Mammalia; Primates; Indriidae. The record is from RNAcentral.